AGUAAGACCCUGUCGCAAGAAAAAAAGAAAAAAAGUUAUGGAAAAAUAUGUAAUAACUGAGGAUCCUAGGUCACUGAAGAGGAGUAUAGUGCUUCCCUGGACUCUGUUUUUUUUAGAGGUCCUACUUUUACUUUCUCUGGCGACACCACCCCUGUGGGGUGAGACUUGUGCAGUGGCCAAUAUACCUUUUCCACCCAGAGCCCACAUUUCCCCUUUAGACCAUAUUUCAGCUACCCAGAGAGCCCAGAGUUGCCCUGCUAAAGGGCCUUGCCCCCAUUCCUCAGAUGCGGGCAAGUAUCUUCCCUGGGACCACCCUUCGAAGGCAGACCAUGCCACGGCAUCCAUGCAGUGGACCCAAAGGGUGGCCAAGGGAUGGUGGCUGUUUUUGUGGGGUGUACACAAUUCCCAGGCCCGUCAUAGUAAAAGCUGAAGUCGAAGUUCCAAAGAGAAGGUGAAUGUCUUGAAAGUGGGGAACUGCUUUUCCUAGAGCCUCAAUAUUUAGGCACAAAGCACUGAGUCUGCAUAUUCUGAAUUAGAACCUGCCCUGUCAAGUUGUUAGGAAACUGUAUUUAUCAAGUUAAGUGGAUAGAGCAUAUUUUAUUUAGUAGUUUUUAGCUGGAUUUAUACCUUUCAACUAUUUAGACAUGUGGUAUGUGGGCUUCCGUUUGUGCGCUUGUCCCUGCCUGCCGUGCGGUUUCCCGCUGGGCUGGCAGAGGGUGUGUUUUGUGUGUACACAUAUGCACACAUUUGUUGAAGAGGCACACAGUGAUAACAGGAGUGGAGGGGGUGGGGAUGUAAGACAAAUCAAUUUUCCAGCAUUGCUCUUGGACCUGUCAUUCUUUGUCGUCAAAAUAAAAUCGAUUCUUCGGUACAUGAGAUUAAUUUUAGAUAUUACAUCUGGUAAGUAUUUAUUAGGUAAUAUCUAGAACAAUUUAAAAAUAUUUGCUGCCUCUACAUAGUACAUUCAUCAGCAGUUAAAUUCCUUGAUUGAAAUUCUCAGUUCAGCUAGAUUCCGAGGAACCCAAAUAUUGACAUAUCUCAGUUAUUGACAAUCUCCUUUGUCCCAAUUCUUUUAGCCCAGUGUUUAUAAAGGGUGAUUACAAUAUCAGCAGCACCAGCCACCUGGGAACUUGUUGGAAAACAAAAUCUGGACAGUCAGUCCCCAAUCCCUAAGCCUAACCUAAAACCCCUAAGGUGGGCAGAUUCAGAAGUCCACUUAAGCAGCUCUCCGUGUGAUUCUGAAGCUUGGCUGCAGGAUGCAAAGUUAUCAGAAGAGACAACCUCUCUGGUUACAAGCCAGCUGGGACGCCACCAGGAUGCGACUGGAAUUCUUUAAGGAGUCUUUGAGGACACUACAUCUAUCCUGGGCAAAUUUCUCGAGACUUGCAGACUGGCUUACAAGGUGUUUUGUCUCACUGGACUCAGACAAGUUGGUGACCAGUACACAGUGAACCUGCUUCACAACAAGAGGAGAAGGAAUUCCAGGUCAUAGUGGAUGAGGCUACCUGCCUGUCUGACCUUUGAGGAAGGGGAAUUUCUGAAACCUUAAGGCUUCUUUGUAUUGUUCAAUUCAGUGAGAAAUAAAUCACUAAUGAUAGCAGGGUUUGCUCUGUUGCCCAGGCUGGAGUACAGUAGCA
This is a non-coding RNA of Macaca mulatta (Rhesus monkey), 1637 nucleotides long. The record is from RefSeq and is a predicted model, not a curated record. NCBI's taxonomy places the organism in Eukaryota, Metazoa, Chordata, Mammalia, Primates, Cercopithecidae.